GACGAACGCUGGCGGCGUGCUUAACACAUGCAAGUCGAACGGAGCAAAUGAAAGCUUGCUUUUAUGAGCUUAGUGGCAAACGGGUGAGUAACACGUAGACAACCUGCCGACAGGAUGGGGACAACAUUCCGAAAGGAAUGCUAAUACCGAAUGAAGCGGAGGAGAGGCAUCUCUCUUCCGUGAAAGAUGGCCUCUGAACAUGCUAUCACCUGUCGAUGGGUCUGCGUCUGAUUAGCUGGUUGGUGAGGUAACGGCUCACCAAGGCGACGAUCAGUAGCCGGUCUGAGAGGAUGAACGGCCACAUUGGGACUGAGACACGGCCCAGACUCCUACGGGAGGCAGCAGUGGGGAAUCUUCCGCAAUGGGCGCAAGCCUGACGGAGCAACGCCGCGUGAGUGAAGAAGGUCUUCGGAUCGUAAAGCUCUGUUGACGGGGACGAACGUGCGAGAGGGAAUAAACUCUU
This 463-nucleotide ribosomal RNA is filed under the name Centipeda dianae. RNAcentral describes it as "bacterial SSU rRNA". It matches the Rfam family "Bacterial small subunit ribosomal RNA", at positions 28 to 469 of the family's 1533-position model. The record is from RNAcentral. Lineage: Bacteria; Bacillati; Bacillota; Negativicutes; Selenomonadales; Selenomonadaceae.